This 266-nucleotide ribosomal RNA is filed under the name uncultured prokaryote. RNAcentral describes it as "partial 16S ribosomal RNA". It matches the Rfam family "Bacterial small subunit ribosomal RNA", at positions 524 to 788 of the family's 1533-position model. The record is from RNAcentral.
UACGUAGGUGGCAAGCGUUAUCCGGAAUUACUGGGCGUAAAGCGUGCGUAGGUGGUUCGUUAAGUCUGAUGUGAAAGCCCUGGGCUCAACCUGGGAAUUGCAUUGGAUACUGGCGGGCUAGAGUACGGUAGAGGGUGGCGGAAUUCCUGGUGUAGCAGUGAAAUGCGUAGAUAUCAGGAGGAACAUCCGUGGCGAAGGCGGCCACCUGGACCAGUACUGACACUGAGGCACGAAAGCGUGGGGAGCAAACAGGAGUUAGAUACCCU